Molecule: ribosomal RNA, 1373 nt
Filed under: uncultured bacterium
Lineage: Bacteria
Description: bacterial SSU rRNA
Rfam family: Bacterial small subunit ribosomal RNA
Source: RNAcentral
AGUUUGAUCCUGGCUCAGGACGAACGCUGGCGGCGUGCUUAACACAUGCAAGUCGAACGGAAAGGCCCUUCGGGGCACUCGAGUGGCGAACGGGUGAGUAACACGUGGGUGAUCUGCCCUGCACUUUGGGAUAAACCUGGGAAACUGGGUCUAAUACCGAAUAGGACCACGCGCUUCAUGGUGUGUGGUGGAAAGCUUUUGCGGUGUGGGAUGGGCCCGCGGCCUAUCAGCUUGUUGGUGGGGUAAUGGCCUACCAAGGCGACGACGGGUAGCCGGCCUGAGAGGGUGACCGGCCACACUGGGACUGAGAUACGGCCCAGACUCCUACGGGAGGCAGCAGUGGGGAAUAUUGCACAAUGGGCGCAAGCCUGAUGCAGCGACGCCGCGUGAGGGAUGACGGCCUUCGGGUUGUAAACCUCUUUCAAUAGGGACGAAGCGUGAGUGACGGUACCUAUAGAAGAAGCACCGGCCAACUACGUGCCAGCAGCCGCGGUAAUACGUAGGGUGCGAGCGUUGUCCGGAAUUACUGGGCGUAAAGAGCUCGUAGGUGGUUUGUCGCGUUGUUCGUGAAAACUCACAGCUUAACUGUGGGCGUGCGGGCGAUACGGGCAGACUAGAGUACUGCAGGGGAGACUGGAAUUCCUGGUGUAGCGGUGGAAUGCGCAGAUAUCAGGAGGAACACCGGUGGCGAAGGCGGGUCUCUGGGCAGUAACUGACGCUGAGGAGCGAAAGCGUGGGGAGCGAACAGGAUUAGAUACCCUGGUAGUCCACGCCGUAAACGGCGAAAACUAGGUGUGGGUUCCUUCCCUCGGGAUCCGUGCCGUAGCUAACGCACUAAGUACCCCGCCUGGGAGUACGGCCACAAGGCUAAAACUCAAAGGAAUAGACGGGGGCCCGCCCACGCGGCGGAGCAUGUGGAUUAAUUUGAUGCAACGCGAAGAACCUUACCUGGGUUUGACAUGCACAGGACGCCGGCAGAGAGGUCGGUUCCCUUGUGGCCUGUGUGCAGGUGGCGCAUGGCUGUCGUCAGCUCGUGUCGUGAGAUGUUGGGUUAAGUCCCGCAACGAGCGCAACCCUCGUCCUAUGUUGCCAGCGGGUUAUGCCGGGGACUCGUAGGAGACUGCCGGGGUCAACUCGGAGGAAGGUGGGGAGGACGUCAAGUCAUCAUGCCCCCUAUGUCCAGGGCUUCACACAUGCUACAAUGGCCGGUACAAAGGGCUGCGAUGCCGUGAGGUGGAGCGAAUCCUUUCAAAGCCGGUCUCAGUUCGGAUCGGGGUGUGCAACUCGACCCCGCGAAGUCGGAGUCGCUAGUAAUCGCAGAUCAGCAACGCUGCGGUGAAUAAGUUCCCGGGCCUUGCACUCACCGCCCGUCA